GAUGAACGCUAGCGGCAGGCCUAACACAUGCAAGUCGAACGGUAACAUUCUCGCUUGCGAGAGAUGACGAGUGGCGCACGGGUGCGUAACGCGUAUGCAACCUACCUCUAUCAGGGGGAUAGCCCGGGAGAAAUCCGGAUUAAUACCCCAUAGUAUUACUGAUUGGCAUCUAUUAGUAAUUAAAGCUUCGGCGGAUAGAGAUGGGCAUGCGUCCUAUUAGUUAGUUGGUAAGGUAACGGCUUACCAAGACUACGAUAGGUAGGGGGCCUGAGAGGGUGAUCCCCCACACUGGUACUGAGACACGGACCAGACUCCUACGGGAGGCAGCAGUGAGGAAUAUUGGGCAAUGGACAAGUCUGACCCAGCCAUGCCGCGU
RNAcentral lists this ribosomal RNA (376 nucleotides) under uncultured bacterium. RNAcentral's name for it is "bacterial SSU rRNA". It matches the Rfam family "Bacterial small subunit ribosomal RNA", at positions 28 to 402 of the family's 1533-position model. The record is from RNAcentral.